AAAUUGAAGAGUUUGAUCAUGGCUCAGAUUGAACGCUGGCGGCAGGCCUAACACAUGCAAGUCGAACGGUAGCACAGAGAGCUUGCUCUCGGGUGACGAGUGGCGGACGGGUGAGUAAUGUCUGGGAAACUGCCUGAUGGAGGGGGAUAACUACUGGAAACGGUGGCUAAUACCGCAUAACGUCGC
Molecule: ribosomal RNA, 186 nt
Filed under: Salmonella enterica subsp. enterica serovar Infantis
Lineage: Bacteria; Pseudomonadati; Pseudomonadota; Gammaproteobacteria; Enterobacterales; Enterobacteriaceae
Also listed under: 4 other names
Description: partial 16S ribosomal RNA
Rfam family: Bacterial small subunit ribosomal RNA
Source: RNAcentral